AGCGAACGCUGGCGGCAGGCCUAACACAUGCAAGUCGAACGAACUCUUCGGAGUUAGUGGCGGACGGGUGAGUAACACGUGGGAACGUGCCUUUAGGUUCGGAAUAACUCAGGGAAACUUGUGCUAAUACCGAAUGUGCCCUUCGGGGGAAAGAUUUAUCGCCUGUAGAGCGGCACGCGUCUGAUUAGCUAGUUGGUGAGGUAAAGGCUCACCAAGGCGACGAUCAGUAGCUGGUCUGAGAGGAUGAUCAGCCACAUUGGGACUGAGACACGGCCCAAACUCCUACGAGAGGCAGCAGUGGGGAAUCUUGCGCAAUGGGCGAAAGCCUGACGCAGCCAUGCCGCGUGAAUGAUGAAGGUCUUAGGAUUGUAAAAUUCUUUCACCGGGGACGAUAAUGACGGUACCCGGAGAAGAAGCCCCGGCUAACUUCGUGCCAGCCGCCGCAGUAA
This 449-nucleotide ribosomal RNA is filed under the name uncultured bacterium. RNAcentral's name for it is "partial 16S ribosomal RNA". It matches the Rfam family "Bacterial small subunit ribosomal RNA", at positions 29 to 523 of the family's 1533-position model. The record is from RNAcentral.